This 374-nucleotide long non-coding RNA is filed under the name Vigna radiata. Its description in RNAcentral is "long non-coding RNA (VRAD_LNC016768)". The record is from RNAcentral. Lineage: Eukaryota; Viridiplantae; Streptophyta; Magnoliopsida; Fabales; Fabaceae.
GAUGCUCUUUGUGAUAGUUAAAAAAAAACUUUGAACAGUUUUCUUCUUCCACGCGAUUUUCAGAAAACAGAAAACGAAACCCCACCGCUGCAAGCUUUUCUCCGUCCGGACUCUGCUUCUCCGUCCAUUAUCGUCUCCGUCCGCCUCCCGAAUCGUCAUCGUCGCCGUCAGACCAGUGCUUCUCCGCCACCGCCACAUUGACGCCAGCCCAAAUCGUCUAGGUGCCAGACUUCUCCUCCGCGACUGUGCUCUCUACAACGACCUUCUUCUCCCCCGUGCCAAAUUUAUUUGCGAAGAGAAUCAAAACAGGUAUGGUUGCUAUCCUCAUUUGUAUUCAAUACUUGCUUGAUGUCUGAUUGCUUGUGAUGAAAUGU